AGCAGCCGCGGUAAUUCCAGCUCCAAUAGCGUAUAUUAAAGUUGUUGCAGUUAAAAAGCUCGUAGUUGAACUUCGGGGUCUACCCAUUGGUCAGGCUUAAUUGUCUGUACUGGUGAGAUGGAUUUCUACCUUCUGAGGAACUUUCAUGCCAUUUAUUUGGUGUGAUUGGAAAUCAGGACUGUUACUUUGAAAAAAUUAGAGUGUUUAAAGCAGACUAUCGUCUGAAUACAUUAGCAUGGAAUAAUGAAAUAGGACGGACUGAUUCUAUUUCGUUGGUUUCCAGGAUCACCGUAAUGAUUAAUAGGGAUAGUUGGGGGCAUUAGUAUUCAAUUGUCAGAGGUGAAAUUCUUGG
RNAcentral lists this ribosomal RNA (352 nucleotides) under uncultured Diversispora. Its description in RNAcentral is "SSU rRNA". It matches the Rfam family "Eukaryotic small subunit ribosomal RNA", at positions 569 to 923 of the family's 1831-position model. The record is from RNAcentral. Lineage: Eukaryota; Fungi; Glomeromycota; Glomeromycetes; Diversisporales; Diversisporaceae.